GAAGUCUGUUCCAAAACCAAAGAGUUCCAAAACCAAGGUGCACUUUCCCAUAGACAGUAAUGCAAAAUGGAUUAAUCGUUCCAAACUUUUAAAAACAACCUCUAAAACAGCAAUUUAACAUGAAUUUUACUAUUUUAUGAGACCAUUGAUCCAUAAAAUGAAAGCAAUAAACAAUGUACUGUACUAUAAAAUAAAUAAAACAGUAUUGUAGAUGAU
Podarcis lilfordi (Lilford's wall lizard) is the source of this 216-nucleotide non-coding RNA. Lineage: Eukaryota; Metazoa; Chordata; Lepidosauria; Squamata; Lacertidae. The record is from the annotation of a GenBank genome assembly.